This 205-nucleotide non-coding RNA is filed under the name Acidaminococcus intestini. RNAcentral describes it as "T-box sequence". It matches the Rfam family "T-box leader". From Rfam's summary of the family: Uncharged tRNA acts as the effector for transcription antitermination of genes in the T-box leader family. The record is from RNAcentral. Lineage: Bacteria; Bacillati; Bacillota; Negativicutes; Acidaminococcales; Acidaminococcaceae.
UAAAAAGCGUUGAACGGGAGGAGUAGGGGGCCCUUUCCUUUUAAGAGAAGAUGCGGCCGGUGCAAGCAUCUAGGAAAAUCCCUUGAAGUCGCCCGGGAGCUGGCGUGCUGAACCAAAGUAAGCCCGCCCGUUUGGCUCGUUACGUCCUCAAGUUGCCCAAGCAAUUGGGAAAAUAGGUGGUACCGCGACCGAACUCGUCCUAUCU